GACGAACGCUGGCGGCGUGCUUAACACAUGCAAGUCGAACGGAAAGGCCCUGCUUUUGGGGGGUGCUCGAGGGGCGAACGGGUGAGUAACACGUGGGUAACCUGCCCUUGACUUUGGGAUAACUUCAGGAAACUGGGUCUAAUACCGGAUAGGAGCUCCUGCUGCAUGGUGGGGGUUGGAAAGUUUCGGCGGUUGGGCAUGGACUCGCGGCUUAUCAGCUUGUUGGUGGGGUAGUGGCUUACCAAGGCUUUGACGGGUAGCCGGCCUGAGAGGGUGACCGGAUCAACCACGCUUGGACUGAGGCACAGCCCAGUCUGCUACGCAGGAGAGCGGAAUAUUGCACAAUGCGAUGAAGGCAGACGUAGUCCAGCAGUGCCGGGGAUGUGGUGAUUCGCGUUGUAUACCGAUUCUCCUUGUGCCGAAGCGUGAGUGACGGUACCGGGUAAAGAAGCACCGGCUAACUCCGUG
Molecule: ribosomal RNA, 468 nt
Filed under: uncultured bacterium
Lineage: Bacteria
Description: partial 16S ribosomal RNA
Rfam family: Bacterial small subunit ribosomal RNA
Source: RNAcentral